Molecule: ribosomal RNA, 306 nt
Filed under: uncultured bacterium
Lineage: Bacteria
Description: partial 16S ribosomal RNA
Rfam family: Bacterial small subunit ribosomal RNA
Source: RNAcentral
GACAGCAGCCGCCACGGGAACACGUAGGUGGCAAGCGUUGUCCGGAAUUAUUGGGCGUAAAGCGCGCGCAGGCGGAUCAGUCAGUCUGUCUUAAAAGUUCGGGGCUUAACCCCGUGAUGGGAUGGAAACUGCUGAUCUAGAGUAUCGGAGAGGAAAGUGGAAUUCCUAGUGUAGCGGUGAAAUGCGUAGAUAUUAGGAAGAACACCAGUGGCGAAGGCGACUUUCUGGGCGAAAACUGACGCUGAGGCGCGAAAGCCAGGGGAGCGAACGGGAUUAGAUACCCCGGUAGUCCCUGUCUCUUAUACA